GCCUCAUUGUGUCUGUUCCACGUGGCGUGGGCCAAAUCCGUUUGACUCCAAAAAGCGCAGGGCAGAAAAGAACGCCUGUUGGGUCUCAGCGAGCCUCCUCCUUCGUAAUUACUUCCACUCUUGAGGCUCGCAGCCAGGCAGCCUGGCCCCGUCUACAGCCUGCAGUUUGAGAGUGCACGCGUUUGUGGUACAGGAGGUGUGCGCCCAGUGCUGGAGGAUGGAGACGAUCAGAGUGGAGCGCGUAAAACAGAAAAGCCUCGUCCCUCAAGGGAAAAAAAAAGGAGGGAAACAGAUGGGCAGCGAAGACAAAGGCAUCAUCCUACCAAGAGAGACACCCUGGAAAGCCCGGGGAAGUAGACCACGUAAAGAAGUCACAGUCUCCUGUCCGUCCCAGGAUCAGUGCCACCUUCAAAUGGCCCAGCUCAAGGAAAGUUCUGGGGCUGGGAUGUGACUGUCGGGUAACUCGCUAUAUAACCUCUCAGGAUGCUUCAGACCUAUAGCCACCGAGGGAGCUGAAAGGCGCCGCACUCAUCCUCCCAUCCUAAGACUCUGAGGAGGAUGUGGCUUCUCCAAACCUCAGGACGAGGUCACAUCAUCUGGCCAGAGCAGCACCCACAGGAAAUGCCAUUUCAGAGGACAGGAAGCAGGUGGCCACGUUCUCCUUCACAAUCCUCUAAAACGCGGUGGAUGUCAGGCCUCUGGAUUCAGACUAUCACCCAUGUCACCAAGUUAGUUCCUGGACCCACUGACUGGUUUAAAUUCCAGUGAAGAGCACACGCGGGAUUGUGCACUUGGGGUCCAACAGAAGAGCUUGACAGCCAACUGGAGUAACUUAGGGCCCAGCGAACACUGCCACAGACAACACUCAGUUCUCACAAGCUCAACACACAUUCAUUCCCACCUUCCGGGGACUCAAAACCACGGAAGCUUACAGGGAAACCAAGGAAUUCUCCCAGGGCGCUUUCUGAUUCCUAGGAAGGCUAACUUUAGGCCUCUUCCUCCCAGGAGACUGUCCACCACACUCCGGGAAGCUGCAGGCCCCUGCUCAUGCUCAGCCCACUUCAGCGCCUCCUUCCCCCAGGAAGCCUACCUGAUCCUCCAAGCCAAGGUGAAUUCGCUCCUCCAGUGUGAACCCCUGGGGUCCACCUUGGGCUCCUGGGGAACUUUACACAGCCCGACAUACAGUGCAGGACCGACGUGCACCUUAGGGAAGAAUGCACUCGCAGGCAGGGCUAGUGUUGGGACACUGCUUACCUUCAAUCUGACGGCGAAACGAAGUGCUUGUAAAACUAUGUACGACUGGUCGUUUGUUAAAACAUAGAAUUGAGCCAUGCACUCUUAACCUCCCACAAGUCAAAACCCAAGGAGUAAAUAAGUAACAAUUAAAAUGCCCCUUUUUUUUUCUCUCAGCUAAGAAAUGCUAUUCCGCAAAACUCACUAUUUUGUGAAACCGUGGUGUAUUUCAAAAUGCUGUAACUAGACUCUUAAAAAGUACUAAUAAUGGGGUUGGCGUAACAGCUCCGUGGGUUAACAGCAUUUGCUACCAAGCUUGGUGGCCUGAGUUCGAAGCCCGGGACUCAUAAGUAUAAUUUGAUUUUUUUUUAGAAAGCAGAAACAAUGUAGCAAGGUGGCUCACAUCUAAGGCAGAGGGUCACCAUGAGUUUGUGGCCAGCCUGGGCUAGAGGCCAGCCUGGGCUAAAGUAAUACUGUCUCAAAAAAAUGAACGAACUUGGUAGUAACAAUGAGUCUAUGUAAAUUUCAAAACUGUACUUGCUAUUGCCAAUAACCAGACGGAAUAAACACACAUCACCUCAACCUAAAGGCUUUUAAACUUUGUUACAGCUUCUCGGCAUACCAAAAGUAUAUUUAUGCCACCAAAAUGAGCUUUAAGGGCAAAAUAAAAAGAAAACAAAACUCA
Long non-coding RNA from Mesocricetus auratus (golden hamster), 1918 nucleotides. RefSeq lists it as uncharacterized. The transcript is spliced from 3 exons. Lineage: Eukaryota; Metazoa; Chordata; Mammalia; Rodentia; Cricetidae. The record is from RefSeq and is a predicted model, not a curated record.